RNAcentral lists this ribosomal RNA (957 nucleotides) under Staphylococcus gallinarum. RNAcentral's name for it is "bacterial SSU rRNA". It matches the Rfam family "Bacterial small subunit ribosomal RNA", at positions 43 to 980 of the family's 1533-position model. Lineage: Bacteria; Bacillati; Bacillota; Bacilli; Caryophanales; Staphylococcaceae. The record is from RNAcentral.
CGGGUGCUAUAAUGCAAGUCGAGCGAACAGAUAAGGAGCUUGCUCCUUUGACGUUAGCGGCGGACGGGUGAGUAACACGUGGGUAACCUACCUAUAAGACUGGAAUAACUCCGGGAAACCGGGGCUAAUGCCGGAUAACAUAUAGAACCGCAUGGUUCUAUAGUGAAAGAUGGUUUUGCUAUCACUUAUAGAUGGACCCGCGCCGUAUUAGCUAGUUGGUAAGGUAACGGCUUACCAAGGCGACGAUACGUAGCCGACCUGAGAGGGUGAUCGGCCACACUGGAACUGAGACACGGUCCAGACUCCUACGGGAGGCAGCAGUAGGGAAUCUUCCGCAAUGGGCGAAAGCCUGACGGAGCAACGCCGCGUGAGUGAUGAAGGGUUUCGGCUCGUAAAACUCUGUUAUUAGGGAAGAACAUAUGUGUAAGUAACUGUGCACAUCUUGACGGUACCUAAUCAGAAAGCCACGGCUAACUACGUGCCAGCAGCCGCGGUAAUACGUAGGUGGCAAGCGUUAUCCGGAAUUAUUGGGCGUAAAGCGCGCGUAGGCGGUUUCUUAAGUCUGAUGUGAAAGCCCACGGCUCAACCGUGGAGGGUCAUUGGAAACUGGGAAACUUGAGUGCAGAAGAGGAAAGUGGAAUUCCAUGUGUAGCGGUGAAAUGCGCAGAGAUAUGGAGGAACACCAGUGGCGAAGGCGACUUUCUGGUCUGUAACUGACGCUGAUGUGCGAAAGCGUGGGGAUCAAACAGGAUUAGAUACCCUGGUAGUCCACGCCGUAUACGAUGAGUGCUAAAUGUUAGGAGGGUUUCCGCCCCUUAGUGCUGCAGCUAACGCAUUAAGCACUCCGCCUGGGGAGUACGACCGCAAGGUUGAGACUCAUACGAAUUGACUGGAGACCCACACAAACGGUGGAUCAUGUGCUUUAAUUCAAAUCAACGCGAAGAGCCUUACCAUAUC